This 253-nucleotide ribosomal RNA is filed under the name uncultured bacterium. Its description in RNAcentral is "partial 16S ribosomal RNA". It matches the Rfam family "Bacterial small subunit ribosomal RNA", at positions 524 to 776 of the family's 1533-position model. The record is from RNAcentral.
UACGUAGGGUGCAAGCGUUGUUCGGAAUCAUUGGGCGUAAAGGGCGCGUAGGCGGCUGCCUAAGUCUGGUGUGAAAGCCCGGGGCUUAACCCCGGAAGCGCACUGGAUACUGGGCAGCUAGAGGGCGGGAGAGGGAAGUGGAAUUCCUGGUGUAGGGGUGAAAUCCGUAGAUAUCAGGAGGAACAUCGGCGGCGAAGGCGGCUUCCUGGCUCGUUACUGACGCUGAGGCGCGAAAGCGUGGGGAGCAAACAGG